Molecule: ribosomal RNA, 253 nt
Filed under: uncultured Rikenellaceae bacterium
Lineage: Bacteria; Pseudomonadati; Bacteroidota; Bacteroidia; Bacteroidales; Rikenellaceae
Description: partial 16S ribosomal RNA
Rfam family: Bacterial small subunit ribosomal RNA
Source: RNAcentral
UACGGAGGAUCCGAGCGUUAUCCGGAUUUAUUGGGUUUAAAGGGUGCGUAGGCGGUUUGAUAAGUUAGAGGUGAAAUGUCGGGGCUCAACCCCGAAACUGCCUCUAAUACUGUUGGACUAGAGAAUAGUUGCGGUAGGCGGAAUGUAUGGUGUAGCGGUGAAAUGCUUAGAUAUUGGGAGGAACAUCAGUGGCGAAGGCGGCCAACUGGGCUUUCACUGACGCUGAGGCUCGAAAGCGUGGGGAGCAAACAGG